GGUGACGCCGACAGGGCAAGUCAAAGCAGAGCUGGGAGGAUCUAGAACGAAUGAUGUUUCUGAUGAUGUCAUGUUCAGCUGAAAUGGUUCACAUGCGCUCCGAAGUGAAAGGACAUGGACGGAGUAUCCACCCAGAAGGACAGGUGACCUUGUGUGUGACGGAAUCUUCUUCACGGCCACCAGGAGCACGUAGGCCCUUCAUGGUGUGAUGUUGGCUGGACAUGUGACAUCCAGUACCAGCUUGUACAUGACUCUGCAGUUUCCAACUGAACUGAAUCAUUUAUAAUAUAUAUAUAAUGCCAUACCACUAACAUACUGUAUAUACGUGUUUCUACUAUACAAUAAACGUGGUACCUUAUCUUU
Long non-coding RNA from Cottoperca gobio, 363 nucleotides. RefSeq lists it as uncharacterized. The record is from RefSeq and is a predicted model, not a curated record. Lineage: Eukaryota; Metazoa; Chordata; Actinopteri; Perciformes; Bovichtidae. The transcript has 3 exons.